CCUACGGGAGGCAGCAGUGAGGAAUAUUGGUCAAUGGACGAGAGUCUGAACCAGCCAAGUAGCGUGAAGGAUGACUGCCCUAUGGGUUGUAAACUUCUUUUAUAUGGGAAUAAAAUGUUCCACGUGUGGGUUUUUGUAUGUACCAUAUGAAUAAGGAUCGGCUAACUCCGUGCCAGCAGCCGCGGUAAUACGGAGGAUCCGAGCGUUAUCCGGAUUUAUUGGGUUUAAAGGGUGCGUAGGUGGAUUGUUAAGUCAGUUGGGAAAGUUUGCGGCUCAACCGUAAAAUUGCAGUUGAAACUGGCAGUCUUGAGUACAGUAGAGGUGGGCGGAAUGCGUGGUGUAGCGGUGAAAUGCUUAGAUAUCACGAAGAACUCCGAUUGCGAAGGCAGCUUACUGGACGGCAACUGACACUGAGGCACGAAAGUGUGGGUAUCAAACAGGAUUAGAUACCCGGGUAGUC
Molecule: ribosomal RNA, 460 nt
Filed under: uncultured bacterium
Lineage: Bacteria
Description: partial 16S ribosomal RNA
Rfam family: Bacterial small subunit ribosomal RNA
Source: RNAcentral